AUUGAACGCUGGCGGCAUGCCUAACACAUGCAAGUCGAACGGCAGCACGGCAGUAGCAAUACUGUGGGUGGCGAGUGGCGGACGGGUGAGGAAUACGUCGGAAUCUGCCCAGUCGUGGGGAUAACUAGCCGAAAGGUUAGCUAAUACCGCAUACGACCGAGAGGUGAAAGCGGGGACCGCAAGGCCUCGCGCGAUUGGAUGAGCCGACGUCGGAUUAGCUAGUUGGUGGGGUAAAGGCCCACCAAGGCGACGAUCCGUAGCUGGUCUGAGAGGAUGAUCAGCCACACUGGAACUGAGACACGGUCCAGACUCCUACGGGAGGCAGCAGUGGGGAAUAUUGGACAAUGGGCGCAAGCCUGAUCCAGCAAUGCCGCGUGUGUGAAG
This 384-nucleotide ribosomal RNA is filed under the name uncultured bacterium. Its description in RNAcentral is "bacterial SSU rRNA". It matches the Rfam family "Bacterial small subunit ribosomal RNA", at positions 29 to 410 of the family's 1533-position model. The record is from RNAcentral.